AGAGUUUGAUCAUGGCUCAGGAUGAACGCUAGCUACAGGCUUAACACAUGCAAGUCGAGCGGUUUGUGCUUUUGCACAUUCAGCGGCAGACGGGUGAGUAACACGUAUCUAACCUUCCCCUUACUUGGGCAUAGCCUCUGGAAACGGAGAUUAAUUUCCGAUGUGGUGUACAUUUCGCAUGUUUUGCGCACCAAAGAUUUAUCGGUAAGGGAUGGGGAUGCGCUCCAUUAGGUUGUAGGUAGGGUAAUGGCCUACCUAGCCUAUGAUGGAUAGGGGUUCUGAGAGGAAGGUCCCCCACAUUGGAACUGCGACACGGUCCAAACUCCUACGGGAGGCAGCAGUGAGGAAUAUUGGUCAAUGGCCGGAAGGCUGAACCAGCCAAGUAGCGUGCAGGAUGACUGCCUUAUGGGUUGUAAACUGCUUUUUUACGGGAAUAAUUAUGAUCACGUGUGAUUAUUUGCAUGUACCGUAAGAAUAAGGAUCGGCUAACUCCGUGCCAGCAGCCGCGGUAAUACGGAGGAUCCUAGUGUUAUCCGGAUUUAUUGGGUUUAAAGGGAGCGUAGGCGGGAGGUCAAGUCAGCUGUGAAAUGUAUCUGCUUAACGGGUACACUGCAGUUGAAACUGGUUUUCUUGAGUGCGUAAGAGGCAGGCGGAAUUCGUUGUGUAGCGGUGAAAUGCUUAGAUAUGACGAGGAACUCCUAUUGCGAAGGCAGCUUGCUGGGUCGUUACUGACGCUGAUGCUCGAAGGUGCGGGGAUCAAACAGGAUUAGAUACCCUGGUAGUCCGCACAGUAAACUAUGGAUACUCUCUGCCGGCGAUAUAUUGUCGGUGGCCAAGCGAAAGCGUUAAGUAUCCCACCUGGGGAGUACGUUCGCAAGAAUGAAACUCAAAUGAAUUGACGG
RNAcentral lists this ribosomal RNA (902 nucleotides) under uncultured bacterium. Its description in RNAcentral is "bacterial SSU rRNA". It matches the Rfam family "Bacterial small subunit ribosomal RNA", at positions 8 to 916 of the family's 1533-position model. The record is from RNAcentral.